CCCGCGGCCUAUCAGCUUGUUGGUGGGGUAAUGGCCUACAAGGCGACGACGGUAGCCGGCCUGAGAGGGUGUCCGGCCACACUGGGACUGAGAUACGGCCCAGACUCCUACGGGGAGGCAGCAGUGGGGAAUAUUGCACAAUGGGCGCAAGCCUGAUGCAGCGACGCCGCGUGAGGGAUGACGGCCUUCGGGUUGUAAACCUCUUUCAAUAGGGACGAAGCGCAAGUGACGGUACCUAUAGAAGAAGCACCGGCCAACUACGUG
Molecule: ribosomal RNA, 264 nt
Filed under: uncultured bacterium
Lineage: Bacteria
Description: partial 16S ribosomal RNA
Rfam family: Bacterial small subunit ribosomal RNA
Source: RNAcentral